This 254-nucleotide ribosomal RNA is filed under the name uncultured Actinomycetales bacterium. RNAcentral's name for it is "partial 16S ribosomal RNA". It matches the Rfam family "Bacterial small subunit ribosomal RNA", at positions 504 to 757 of the family's 1533-position model. The record is from RNAcentral. Lineage: Bacteria; Bacillati; Actinomycetota; Actinomycetes; Actinomycetales.
UGUGCCAGCCGCCGCGGUAAUACGUAGGGCGCAAGCGUUGUCCGGAAUUAUUGGGCGUAAAGAGCUCGUAGGCGGUUUGUCGCGUCUGCUGUGAAAACGCAAGGCUUAACCUUGCGCCUGCAGUGGGUACGGGCAGACUAGAGUGCGGUAGGGGAGACUGGAAUUCCUGGUGUAGCGGUGGAAUGCGCAGAUAUCAGGAGGAACACCGAUGGCGAAGGCAGGUCUCUGGGCCGUUACUGACGCUGAGGAGCGAA